AGACACGCUCCGACUCCGGUCUGGUGUACGGGUUGCACUCGGACUCUCUGGCUAUUCUGUGUGCUCCCAUCUGACAGCCCACACUUCGCCGCCGUGUGCCUUGGCCGCAGGACACAGAGCACUAAGAAGAAAGACCGUGAGCAUCUGUAUGAUUCUCGGCUGCACGGGAGAACCACAAAUUCACUGAAAGCUCAAAGAGGCCAAAAUCAACAGAGGGGAAGAGCAACAUUAAAUACAGAAUAUACGAAACUGUACCUUAUUAUUUUUAAGCAAGCACCUUCAACCAAGCUGAGAGAAUGUACAAGUAUAGAGUGAAGACAUCAGCUUCAAGGCUUACGUGUGAGAGACUUUGGUUCACACAUCAAUUGUUCAUAGAGGAUAAACUCCAUUUUUCCCAGUCGGUUGGGAAGGAGGUAAAAAAGCCACAUUAGAAACUGAAAGGUAAGCUAGCAGGACUGGCUGCCAGCAGGUUAGAAAUAAGGAAGAAUUGAAAGGCCAAGAGGAAGGACAUACACUGCAAGCCAUUACCAAAUUAAGUCAAGAUUCUCCCGCUGGAAGGAUUUUUGAAAAUCAAGUAGCUAACCAUCACUCUGAGACUGGUGAGCAGAUUUCAGUUUUGAGAGAGGACACUGUACUAAUCCUUAUUUGCCUUGCCCUUGUGAUCCUGUAAAAUAUGAAAGUCACAUCCAAAUCCCUGCAUUUAAAAAAAAUGUUUGGUUGCAUCUUUUACUAACAACAGCUCUUUCUGAUUCUAUUCUCAUUUUGCUUUUGUUGACCAAAACAUAAAGUCAAGCCUCGCCUGAAAAGCAGGCUGUCAGCAAGGACGUGAGGCUUGCAGCCAAGGUUCAGGACUGCCUUUGCCAAUUACGGUGAUGAAUGAAGUGAGUGUGCGGGAGCAUCACAUGAUCAGGAGAGGCAAAACCAGCCAGCACACACUAUCCCCCCCAAGCCAGGAUGAGAGCACAAGGACAUAGACUGGGGGAUCAGAGCGCCCAACACGGCUCAGUGUGGGGGCUGGAAAACCACGGGGCUUGCCACCUAGGAAAAAGACAGUAGCUGCCACUCACACGUGUAUAUGUACUGCCUUCCACACUGGAGGCAGCCAGCAAAUAAUAAUGGAAGUGAAUGAACACAUGAAAAUCGUAGCCGUUAGAGAAGUGUACUAGAAACCAAAUGUCGUGUUUUCCUAAAUGUCACAAAGAAAGAACCACCCGGAAUCUGACCCACAGUGUGACUACUGAACUGAUUUGGCACGAGUCAUUGAGAUUCAAAAAGGCCACCCCAGGACCCCUCUUUCAGUUGGAACAGAACUACUGGAACUCACACCAGCUACCUUCUAUUGAACCCCUUACUGUGAAUGAAAAACUAAGCUGAAAGACACUGGCUUCCGUCAUUUAAUCCCAACGGCAACCCUGUGACUUAGAUGCUAUUAGGAUUCCUUUUUCCAGAUAAGGAGAACCAAAGAGGUGAUAUUACUUGCUCAGGGUCACAAAGCCAGGGACCAGCAGAGUUAGUCUUCAAAUACAUGCACCUCCUGGGCUCCAGAACCACCACUUUCUUCCUUAAACUAUACUGAAGAAAGGGCUUGGUUAAGAAAACAAGCUGUUUACCUCGACUUACCCAAGGCAACAACAAAAAAGCAAGGACCUCAAAGAAAUGUCUCUUGAGACUAUUCUAGAACCCUAUGAUUCCUCAGUCCCUCAGGAAGACAAUACCUGUACAAUGUUAGUAUUUCUGACUUUAUUACUUUCUUCACAGCAUCUUGAGGACCCUGGGAAGAAAGACACUUAGAGUACCAAAAUACAAUCACAUAAAUAAAAGGCCAGAUUUGCCUUUGGCUGAAGCCACACCCUGACUUUCUCCUGGCCACUUUUCAGGGUUUCUUCACCCUGUGGGGUCUGCCUGAUGCCACAUGGCGAAUGGCGGCUUCCGUUCCCUGGUCAAUGAAUGGCUCUUUGCAUGGUCAUGAAUGGAAGGCUGCGGGUUGUCGAUUUGGACCUGCCAAUUCACUAGGACUAAUCUCUCAAAUGCUUGUGCUGUAAGACAUCUCAAAGAUGGCUCAGUCCAUCUAUUUAUCUCACAAAUUCAACACUAGAGACAAGGAGACAUGGCAAGCUCAGGCACACAGCAAGGAAGAAGUAAACACAGGCUUAGGACGCUGAAUACCUGUACCCAGCACAGAACUGUAACCCCCUGGGGACUUGUGGCCAAGUACUGGUGUUCUUCACGUUGCUCAGAAACCAUGGCUGACCAGUCAGUCACCCCGAUUCUUCCCAGGUCAGUCAUGCUCACAAAAAGCUAGCAUGAUAAACAGGGACUAGGAAGGCAGGCGUCGAUUCUACCACCUCUGGCUUUGAUGGAUGGCAGACACCCGUAGGAACAAGAGUAAAUGAUAACAACCUCCUGUUCCAAGCUGCCAGUGAAGAACAAAUUCCAAUGGGUGGGACAUGCAUGAGUGGCAGCACAGGAAACAAAGCUCCCUGCUUGUCUUCACCUUGCUCUAAGAUGCCACAAAUUAAAGGCAUAGGUUUUGGAGUCCGGCACCCCUAGGCUGACACACCAUCUGCCAUUUUACUUCAGUGCCAUUUGGGGCAAAUUACUUAACCUCUCUCAGCUCAGAUUUGUUUUCUGUAAAAUGGGGACCACAGCACUGUCGACAUUCAGCAGAGUCACGUCACAAUUAAGUGGGACACUGCAUACAGUCAGAGCUCUUGGUGUUCUGGCCGAACAGCGUAAAAAUCAUUACACAUUCCCUAUCACCACUACUACUAUUUCUAUUCAGCAGAGUCUUUUAGAAUACCUCCCAACACGUGGAUAGAAAGGGGAGUGUUUUUUUUAAAAAUCCAGGUUAACUAAUGGAGUCUCUGAGAUGAGCAUUCUCACACAGACGUUUGCUGAGUGAAGGAGGGACUUGGGCAAAAAUCUCACCCAUGUGAACGGGGGAAGAGCUUUCCUUUCCAAAGGUCCCAAAGCAAUCCACACAUCAGACAUCAAUGUGGAGAACUCCUCCUCUAGUAGUGCCCUUUUCACUCUUUUCAACUCUUUCUUAUUAAUACGGUCUCCCUGGCCCCAGAAGAUAGGAAGACGAGUAAGAAAAAGAAAGACCCCACAUCCGAAUGCCACGCCUUUUUCCUACUCCACCGUUUCCUGCUCACAUGUAUUAUCUCAAGAACUACUUAUGUUUCUCAUUUGCUUCUUGGGAGGUUAGUCCUUGAAUGUCCCAAAACACAGCCUUCACACCAGUGACCACCGUUACCGAACAGCCGUGCCCUCCCUUCCCAGCUCUGCUCAGCUCUGCCUUGGCAGUGGUCACAGUCCUUUGUGACCUGCUGGGUGUGAGCACAGUGAGGGCUUCUCACAACACAAGAAUGGCUCCGGAUGGGGGGCGUCAGGGGACUAGAAUGACUGGGGCGGGAGAGAGAGCUCUGCCAGCAAACAAGGGCUGUGACUUCAGGGCGUAAAGCCAAUGUUGACAGGUCUGCCUGAUGGCUGUUUCUGGCCAGGACCACCAUGGCACUUAUUACCAUGAAAAGGAGCUGAGAAAGCAGGAGAUUGGCAGGGAACACCAGGGAAGAAAGCAGAUGCGGGAGUCACGGUCGUCCCAGCCGGAUGGGGCAUUAGGCCACCCUUCCAUCCCCACUGCCCCCAACACCGACAGCCUCUGCAAUACUACAAAGGUCGAAGACUAUGGGAGAAAAGGCACUAAGAGUCACAUGUCAGAGCUUGGAGCAUGCUUGAAGGCUGCUGUCAAUAUGAUAGCCAAGUAGGUGGCCCUGCAUAUGUCUCGCACGGGGGAUGGCAGGGCCAUGCCAAUAUGGGGACACAGUAGGAAGGGCUCAUGCCCUCCGCCUCCCCAUCCCCCCCAAGAAUGAUGAGGCACAGGGCUCUCCAGCUACCCCCUCCCUACGUCAUAAUGAAACAACUUCAUAUGAGAGGAGGGGACAUGAAUAUUCACAUUAAAUAGAACAGCAUAGGAAAUCCACUAUGCAAGUUGCAAAAUCCAAAUUGAGGUUCUUUUUGUUCUGCAAGAAUGUUAAAUAUUACGAUGCUUCUCCCCACUGAGACAAAAAACAAAAAUGAAGACAAUCUGCAAAAGCAACACCUGGUGAAUUUUAUCACGGCCACAUCCAGUGGUGCCCUCUGGAAACUGAGGCACAGUACAUCACCUGGCCCUGUGGUCCCUAACAUGCCCUCUGAUUCCCCAUUUUCAAGCACACUGACUAUUUUAAUUCUUUGUAACCUGACUUCAGCAGAAUAAUGAUAUUGGCAUCUUUCAGGUGAAGAUGGUACAAGGACCCACCCUUUGUGCUUGCCACAGGAUUGUCCAUGAAGGCUGUCUGGAAGACAGGGGGAUAGUGGGUGAGAUAUCUGUGCCAGGAUCCUUAUUCUCAGCUAUUGCAAAGUUCCCAAACCAUAGCCAAGUCUUAUCCUUCACCUGCCAUGUGGAUGGAGGAAUACGUGGUUGGGACAAUGAAGGCUGAUGAAAGGAACAGAACCCAAAGUGGUGGACUGUCCUACCAAUGGGAACAGAGAAGAUGCAGCGUUGCCCAAAGAAGAGCUUAGUUUUAGCUCAAGAAACAGUUUGGAAGACAUCUCAAUGCAUUUGAUGGGUUUUAUUUCAGCCAGAGAGCUUUUAGGCAUACAGCCAAACUGAGAGUGAACGUAACAAAUUAAUGAGUGCUUUUAAAAAAGAGACCACCGGAAUGGUUUAGAGUUUAAUUCAGAUGUCACCCUAAAGGGAAAAAUAACACCACCAACAACUAUCUGGCCACUGGAAAAGAAAAUUGAUGACCUCAUCAUUUGAUCUACAGCCAAUGUUGGUGCAUACAUUUUAAUUUCAAGGGGGUGUCAGUGUGGGGCAUGAAUGUGAAUAAAUCCACAAGGGCUUUCUUAACACUGAGGAGGCUAAGUUUUGCCAAGCUAAAUGAUGAGAAUCACAGUGAUGGAGGAGACACUGCCUCAACCCCGAGUCUUCUGAAGUGUCUUUCAAACACACCCCCUUAAAGCUGAUCUCCUCAACCUUUACCCACAGGGCUCAGUGAAUAUGAAAAGCUGCCUUCCUGAAACUCCCUUCAAAAAGGGAAUGAUCUCUUGGAAUCCAAGCUUCUACAAGGUGACUACCUGGUGUUUCCCAUUUUUGUCUUCUCCUAAAAAGCAUCAAUCAAGCCUUGCCCUUUUGGCCCAUUGAACACAUAAACACUCUUUCUCCUUAACUGAACUUACUGCCGCGAUGAACUUGAACUCUAAGAUGCACAAGAGGAGAGUUGUUUUAACAGCUGCUUUUACAUGGAGGCCCUGGAGUUACUACUUUCAGGACAGCUGGUUCUGAUAAGGCUCUCUUUGCACUGUCCUAUUUUUUCUAAUGCCCAGCUGUCAGAGAACACCCACUGCAGAAGCCACACAACAGAAGAAAGGCAGGAGAAUGGUACUCACUUGGAUGUAAGGGCAUCCUACCUCGGGACUCUUUACAAGCUGACAUGGGGUUUUUCUCUCCAACUUUCUUUCAUAAGUUUAUUGAUUUCUUGGCUAGUUGAGUAUUAACUGCUAAAGACGCACUGUUGUCUGAGGUUGCCCUGUCCAAUAUGGUAGCCACCAGCCACAGGUGGCUGGUUAAAUUAGAGUAAUUAAAAUGAAAUGCAAUGUAAAGGGGAGUAUCCCUGUUGCACUUAGCCACAUUUCAAGUGCUCCAUAUUAGCCACAUGGGGCUAGUAGCUUCCAUACUGGAAAGUAAAAAUAGAAAACAUUUCCAUCAUUGUAGAAAGUUACCAGACUGCAUUGGCCGAGGCAUAUGCUCUUUCUAAUAAGAGAAAGGGGAUGCAGAUCUGGCUAAGAAUAAUAGUUUUUUAGGCUCAGCCUUUAUUGAUUACUUUCCACACUACUUCCUGCACACUCUUUUUUUUUUUUUGGCUUGCCAAUGUUCCAUUUUAUAAAUUUUUGGAAAGGGAAGUUGUGGUCUUUAAAACCACCCAUGAAAAUGAUCCCACUUUAGAGGAAAUAAAACAACAAGAAGCGAAGGUGGUGGCGUGGCAAUCCACACAUUCCAGAUCUUUUUAUUGGUAAUCAUUAAAUAACACAGGGGAAAAUAAACCUCAGCCAGGACUUCCCACGCUUGUGUGGAGGCUGAGAACACUAGCAGGGGGAGAUGGAAAGCCAGAGGCCCUCUGCUUACCCUGGCUCUCAGACCACUGAACUCAUGUCUGGGUUAUAACGUAAGGGUGAAUAGAAGCACACUCUCUGAUAGGAGGUUUUUUAAAAGUUCCAUGCCACCAGCCAGGGAGCAUUUAUCCCUGAAAAUGAUUGUGUAAUUGUACAUUUAAAAGGAAAGAUAGGAGUGAUAAUUUUUAUUUAGUGAACAAAGAUCAUUAGGAACGCUGUGUGUUCUUCUCAGAGCAAUCUGUAUUUUUGUUUUUGUGAUUGUAAUGAGGCUGCCAGAGAAAAAAGCGUCAGUUCUUUAAUUACAUGUAUAAUUGGUUUUAUUUGUUUAAUACCAUAUUUUCUCCUUCUCCACUUGAAUGUAUCGCUCUGACUUGUUCACUGCUGUAUCCUUAGCACCUAGAACAGUGCCUGGCUCACAGUCGGCACGUAAAAAGUAUUUGCUGAAAAAUAAAUGAUGACCACUCCCCCCUUUUUUUUAAAGGAAUGACCUAGAAUUAUUUACUCCCUCUCCAUAAAAUAAAUCUUCCUCGACUGCCUUUACUAAUCAGGAUUCCCUCCCAACCAAUUAGACGUGGACUCAAUCUCUACCUCCCACUCCACAUUCCAAAGUUCCCAUUCCUUCCCGUUCCGGAGGGACAACUCGCUGACGGGGGUCACUGAGGAGACCUAUACUCCUCCUCAGGGUCUAAUAACUCUCCUAUCCCUGCUUCCCCCACCUUUGGACUUUUAAAAACUGCAAAAAUAGAAAUCUGUCAAGCUAUCAUGAAAUAUGAGCUGUCAGGAGGCAGGAACAGAGUCUCCCAUAGGCAUACAAUCACUGUAAACAAUGAAAAACCAAAAAAGCCCGCUAAGUUUUAUCUCCAAUUAGAUAGAUGCGGGCCAGUGUUUUGCUUGUUUUGAUUAAAAAAAAAAAAAAAACAAGUCUUAUUUUUAAUACUCCAUAUUGAUAGAGCCAAAUAAUGUAUUUCUUAUUUCUUUUUUUAAAAGGCACCAGCAGUAUAUUUAAGAUGUGUCUUCAUUAGUAAAAAAAAAAAAAAAAAAAUCUCGUUUAUAAAAAAUGCAUAUGCAUUUAAUGUGAUAUUCCUUAUGGUCAAAAUCUUUAUAUCCUCCUCCUAAUCUGGCUAAUGUGAUAACAUUAAAAUGAAACAAAUGUUUUGCCAUUCCCAAAACAUAACCAGUUGUUUGAAGUGUUUAUAAUCACUGGUUAUGGGAAUUUACCAAUACAGAAAUAAAUUUGGAAUUUCUGUGGCUGGAGUCAAACAGACAAUAUCAAUAUUAGCUAAAUAAUGUUGAGGUUGAUGAAGUCUGAGUUUUAGGUAUACCCUUUAUUGAAUAUCAACAGGAGUUUAAAAAAUCAUUCUGAAUAUGGCUGUUUCUAUCACAUGAAGCAGGAUUAAUACAGUCAGUAUACUGACACUGACAUUUUAUUACAGUAGAUGAUCACAUAGUCAAAUGGAGUCAUAAAAGCACCACCCUCAUGGGGUAACAUGGGGGCUAAAUAUGAUGUGUGUUUGCUUAACUUGGCUUGGUACGUAGUAAAUACUCUGUAAAAGUUAGCUAUCGUCAUCUGCUUUGGAGAAGUUAUCUUAUUUCACACCUUAUAUAAACCUCAAACUCACAUAAGGACUCCCUGAUUUUGGUCCUUUCAACCCUCAAUUACCAUACUAAACCACAUGUCAAAUAGAGGCUCAACAGGGGCACAUGGAACCAAUAGGCAUCAGGGGUCAUCUUUAUGAAGUACACUUUCUUCAAAACUGCAGGCUCUCUUAAAAUUUCCAAGUUUGAUGUGAUCAUAUUUUAUUUUUCUUUAAUAAGAAAUUCUUUCUGAAAUGUAUUGCAGGUGAACAAAUAACAAAACUGACAAACAUUGAAGUCUUUCAUGGUUAUCUGAACACAAAGAAUAAGGUGUGAUCAAAUUUGUGCACAUUAGGUUAGUGUUUUCCUGUCCCUAGCUCUUCUUACAUAUUUAGAACCAUUUCUUUUAAUCAUUCGUUUUGUCUUCUGGCUAUGUUUUAUCAUUAUCUACAAAUUCAAUAAAUGGAGCAUUCAUAUUUCAUAGUUGAGACUCAGUGAAUCAGGACAACAGUAUUAGAAAAGAAAAAAACCCAACAAAAUGUUAAGCCUUGUAUAUUUUUGUUUAUAUCCUAAGCAUCAUUUCCAAUUCAGAAUUUUUUUUUAAGUAUCCCUUUAAAAUACACAUUUUAAACUACCCAAUUACAUAAAGCUUGCCCAGGUUGGCCGCUCAGGUUUGGGAGAGGGACGGUACAGGUUGGAGGGGAUUUACAAAAUUAAAAUGUAUCUUUUAAAACCAAAAGAAACAUACACAUGCAUUUCUAAUUCACAUAGCCUAUUUGCCUUUACAGUUUGCUGAUAAACACUGAUUUUUAAACAUUGUAUAUAAAAUUAAAUAACAUGGAAAAAAUAAAUAUGCUUUAUUAUAUAAACACAUAGAAAUCUGUACCGCUCAAAAUAUUCAGAUAAUACUAGGCUUGGCUGCUCAAAACUGUAUUCAGAAAGUAUGGUAGUGAUAUUUACAGUCUUUAUUUUUGCUAGAGAUAGAUGCAGUGAGGUGAUAAAAUACUGUUGUCAGACAUUUUCUCUUCCUACCUAAGGAAGCUGCAAACUUUAAUAUGGAAAAUGAGGUAGACACAAAUUCAUAAGUUGGCCAGGCAGAAACAAAAGCACAGUUCCUUCGUGAGCUCAUAAAUUCUCAUUAUUUGGGUCGACAAGCAUUAUUCCAAAGCACCUAAAGCAAGGCUCAGAGAACACUUUCAGGUUUGUCGUGAAAAACCCCAACAAGCAGUUUCUCCUAAGGAGAACCACGGUCUCCAAGAUGAUCAGCAAGCAGGUACAUGGGGCAUGGCAGAAAGGAAUGCUACAGGACCAGCUUGGAGAGGUGAUAUCACCUGCAACCUCUGUUACUUUCCUUAUCUCGAUGGAUCUGCUUACUGUUGCUGUUGCGGAUUUUUAACCUGCUUUGUGCUGUGGUUUGACAGCACAGAGCACUCUUUCCAAUGUAUUCUCUAGUGAUGGGACAUGGGCAUUCCCUCCUCAGUCUGCUCCCAGAACUCCGCUCCCAGGCCCGACUGCAGGAGCCGACUGAAAGGCAUAUCAGGGUAAGAACCUUAUUUUGAAAUCAGCACGUUACCAAGUAAGAGUGCAAGGACACAUCCAAAAUAGGACAGAAAAGGCUGGAUUUUUGGAGGCUGUUUUUCACCAUCUUGAUUCUAAAUCUGCAAGGACACGAGCCAGAACUAAGGGUCUAAAACAGGCACUUGAACCUGACGUUCACCUAAGCUUCAUUUUAGAGACUCUGGCAGCCACGCUAACGGUGAUGUGGGUUUCUUUCCUAAAUAUCGAAAUACCUAAAAACCCUAAAUACCGUAACAAUUGUUGAAUGAGGCCAUCUCCCUUUUGACCUUGGAAAAGGCCUAUUCGCACAGCAGCAAGUUGCUUCUGAACACUAUCUCUAGUAGGGGGAAAAUCUGGGGAGAGAAAGCAAAACCUACUGAAGGACUAAUUGCUACCCUCGGUCUCUAAUAAAUCGAGUUGGCUUUCAAGAGAAAGCAACGCGUUAGCACCUCAAGUAUACUUUUUGUUGUUGUUAAUUUCACUGUCAGUUACAAUGAUGAAGCACCAUAGGAGUGGCUUUAUGGCUAUUAACACGAUUCACUGAGGUAUGCUUAAAUUUAGAAUUGCUCAGAAAUUGUACCAAAGCAUCCACGAAAAUCAACAUAAAAGUAAAAUCAAAGUCCUACAAGUAAGAACCUGAAAGACUGCCCUCACACACAUAUUUAAGUAAUAUAUUACAGAUGUAUCUACUUAAAUAAAAUGCUUUUGAUUUCAUUUUUUAAAAAAUCACAAUGAGAAGCCUUGCACAGGUGGCCUUGCUCCUAGACUGCAGAGGCAUUUAAAUAUAUACUCGAGUAACGAUCGCUUUACAAAGGAAGCAUGAAAAUCAUACUGGUGGCAAAAAUAGUUUCAAAAUCCAUGUAUUCUCUUCUGUGUAUAACAGGGCAUUAGCAUCUCUUUCCCUCUCUUUUUCUGUGUGUGUUUCAGAAAACUGUGUGCAGGCCUAAGAAGAACAACUACAAUAAAAAUCUUAAUGUUUUCAGUUAAAUUAGCAGGUCAUAUUUUAAGAUUUAAGCAUUUAAGCUCUUAAAACAUCUGUGGGAGAGGGUGGUGAUCCUGUGUAAAAAAAUUUGAGUGGUAUUUAGAAAGCAUUCAAGGAUGAGAAUGCCAUGGAAACAAAUAUAAUAUACAUUAUACAUUGUAUAUAAUGUGUAUACAUACACAUAUAUGCAUACAGUAUAUAAUAUUUUAUGAUUAUACACACACGUGCGCACACACACACACACACACACACACACACACACACACCCCCUCUGAAGGGUAGGGGAUAUUUUUGGGUCAAAAUUAAAGAAAAACAACUUUUUAGAGGGCUAGUAGUUUCUGAGACACAACUCUGAUGUGGUGUUGCUGUUGGCUGAAUGAACAAGGUAAAAAUAUCAUGGGCUCAAGAGGGACAAUUUCAUGAAAAAUAAUCUGUCAUAGGUGACUGAGGGAAGCAGGGAAUGCUGGGGGAUGUUCCUGACAUUCCAUGGUCAUUUCUGAUCUUUUUCACAAUGUUCACUUUGGGAGGGUGCCAGUACUGCAAACAAAAUGUUUCGGGUGAAUAUAUAUCUGACUCCGAGUGGCAUUUCUUAAGCUCUUGAAUGAAAGCCUGACAGCCCAGCUAACUAGUACCAGGAGAGAUGAUACUACUCUACAUUUCUCUAGCUUUCUACUUAAGACUAAGUACAACGGUUAUAGAGCUAGGUUCUACCUGCAGACACAAUCUCAGAUCCUGAAACCCUUGGUUCUUAGAAGCAUCAACAGGUAUUAGUCAUUUCACUUCAGUUAAUCUGUUCUUUAUCUGGUUUCAGGAAUGGUUAGGACUUUUCCUCCAAACCCUAUAGAAUAAAAAAGGCUUGCAGAUAUGACUUCAUAUACUACUAAAUUCAGAUUCAGUGCAAUUAAUGUAUUUACAGAAACAUUUACUCUAUUUACAUGAACCAGCCCUAACGGCUCCACGGAUUACAACACAACUUAGCGAAAGUACUGCUUUGACAUAGCCGACUUUCUGUUUGCCAAGAGCUGCCCCAGAAGUUUGCAUAGUAUUUACAGUGGCAAACCUGUCUCGCGAUGUCAGCUAAGCAGAUAGCAAGGGAAGCCUAGGACCAAAGCAAAAAAAUCGUCUCAAGCGACGGGCUUUGUGUCUUGGGGAAAGAGAGAGAACAUUUCGGAUACCUUGAAAGGCUCCAAGUCAUGGAGUCCAGUGUUGUUGGUCUAUUGCAUUUUCACAAUGAUUUCAGUCUAUUUUGUGGGCACAGCCUUUGUGGUCACUGAGUUGAGUAUGUACCCAAGUCACAUAGAGGCAAAUUAUAGUCACAGAAGAAAAAAUUGCUUUGGCCUCAAUAUGCAGGUAUCUUCCCCCAAAAGUCAAAACUCCCACAGUUUAGGAAAGGAAAGAAUGUCUGCUAUUGAGUUGUCCGCUGAAAUCACUUUGGAGCUUCAUAACUACAAGAAACUUAUUUCAUUUCUUUAAAAUAUCUACAUAGACAGUCUUGCUUUUCUAAAAAAAAAUAAAACAAACAACAAAAAAACCAGAAGCUACUUCUUGACAUUGGCCCCAGGCCUAUAUGAGGUACACGUAUUUCUGUAAAGUCACUUUGGCAAAGUCACAAAACAUUAAUUCUGUUGUGUGUCAGUAUGAAAGAAAUCAUAGACCACAGCCCAGUUUCAGGGAUGCCCUUGUGAUUAGGACAACUGUGUGUCGCCGAGGAGUGCCCCAGAAUACCCUGGAAUUGGGUCUGUUAGUUAAGAUAGUUUGGUUAACAAAC
Molecule: long non-coding RNA, 12038 nt
Organism: Zalophus californianus (California sea lion)
Lineage: Eukaryota; Metazoa; Chordata; Mammalia; Carnivora; Otariidae
Exons: 6
Source: RefSeq, a predicted model, not a curated record